CACGUAGGGGGCAAGCGUUGUCCGGAUUUAUUGGGCGUAAAGAGCUCGUAGGCGGUUCGGUAAGUCGGGUGUCAAAUCCUCAGGCUCAACCUGGGGCACCACCCGAUACUGCUGUGACUAGAGUCCGGUAGGGGAGCGUGGAAUUCCUGGUGUAGCGGUGAAAUGCGCAGAUAUCAGGAGGAACACCAGCGGCGAAGGCGGCGCUCUGGGCCGGAACUGACGCUGAGGAGCGAAAGCGUGGGUAGCAAACAGG
This 253-nucleotide ribosomal RNA is filed under the name uncultured bacterium. RNAcentral's name for it is "partial 16S ribosomal RNA". It matches the Rfam family "Bacterial small subunit ribosomal RNA", at positions 524 to 776 of the family's 1533-position model. The record is from RNAcentral.